Long non-coding RNA from Macadamia integrifolia, 554 nucleotides. RefSeq lists it as uncharacterized. The record is from RefSeq and is a predicted model, not a curated record. NCBI's taxonomy places the organism in Eukaryota, Viridiplantae, Streptophyta, Magnoliopsida, Proteales, Proteaceae. The transcript has 3 exons.
CAGACCUCAAUUUUCAACAAAAGUUUAAGGCUAAGGAAUAUUUCAUGGCCAAGAGGAAUUCUGCCAUUAUUUUCUUGGAAACAAGAGUAGAAGAUAGGCGAAAUCUGCUUGAGAUGUACUUGCCAGAGAUUGAGAAGAAUUGAGGUGAUAAAAGGAACGCAUAGGUGACCCAGAUUACUCCAUUGAGAAAAUUGGUGAGAGAGAGCAGAAAUGGCAUGUAUUUAACACUCUUUGUCCUUAUAUCCUUCUUCAUGAUAAGUGAUGGAGACAGGUGCAUGCAACAAUUGAAGAACACAGAUGAGAUGACAUCGAAUAUGUCCGCUUGUGCUAUUGCAAAGUGUGAUUACUGUGGAAAAGGUUGCUCGGUUUUCACUUCUAAGUCAGGGUCACAUGUUGGAAGGAAAUUUUUUAAAUGUUCAAUGAAUUGCCCCUUCUUCAUGUGGGUUGAUCAUCUUAAGAUGUGUGAGUGUGGGAACGGUCAGUGUAAGGUCAGAACUGUGAAAACAAGUGCAAAUUAUGGUCGAUAUUUUUGGUGCUGUCCACAAUCAACUGGG